RNAcentral lists this ribosomal RNA (429 nucleotides) under uncultured bacterium. RNAcentral's name for it is "bacterial SSU rRNA". It matches the Rfam family "Bacterial small subunit ribosomal RNA", at positions 355 to 775 of the family's 1533-position model. The record is from RNAcentral.
AGAGGAAUAUUGCGCAAUGGGGGCAACCCUGACGCAGCAACGCCGCGUGAGUGAGGAAGGUUUUCGGACCGUAAAGCUCUGUCGAGCGGGAAGAAAUGCAUGGUGGCUAAUAUCCAUCAUGCUUGACGGUACCGCUAAAGGAAGCACCGGCUAACUCCGUGCCAGCAGCCGCGGUAAUACGGGGGGUGCGAGCGUUGUUCGGAAUUAUUGGGCGUAAAGAGCGUGUAGGCGGCCGAAUAAGUCAGAUGUGAAAUCCCUGGGCUUAACCCGUGACGUGCAUUUGAAACUAGUCGGCUGGAGUAGGGGAGAGGAAAGUGGAAUUCCUGGUGUAGAGGUGAAAUUCGUAGAUAUCAGGAGGAACACCGGUGGCGAAGGCGACUUUCUGGCCCUAUACUGACGCUGAGACGCGAGAGCGUGGGUAGCAAACAG